UACAGAGGGUGCGAGCGUUAAUCGGAAUUACUGGGCGUAAAGCGCGCGUAGGCGGGUUUGUAAGUCGAUUGUGAAAGCCCUGGGCUCAACCCGGGAACUGCAGUCGAAACUGCAAAUCUUGAGUGCCUGAGAGGAUGGCGGAAUUCCCGGUGUAGAAGUGAAAUUCGUAGAUAUCGGGAGGAACACCUGAGGCGAAGGCGGCUAUCUGGCGGUGCACUGACGCUGAUGCGCGAAAGCGUGGGGAGCAAACAGG
This 253-nucleotide ribosomal RNA is filed under the name uncultured bacterium. Its description in RNAcentral is "partial 16S ribosomal RNA". It matches the Rfam family "Bacterial small subunit ribosomal RNA", at positions 524 to 776 of the family's 1533-position model. The record is from RNAcentral.